Molecule: ribosomal RNA, 315 nt
Filed under: uncultured soil bacterium
Lineage: Bacteria
Description: bacterial SSU rRNA
Rfam family: Bacterial small subunit ribosomal RNA
Source: RNAcentral
AGAUUGAACGCUGGCGGCAGGCCUAACACAUGCAAGUCGAGCGGCAGCACGGGUACUUGUACCUGGUGGCGAGCGGCGGACGGGUGAGUAAUGCCUAGGAAUCUGCCUGGUAGUGGGGGAUAACGCUCGGAAACGGACGCUAAUACCGCAUACGUCCUACGGGAGAAAGCGAGGGGACCUUCGGGCCUUGCGCUAUCAGAUGAGCCUAGGUCGGAUUAGCUAGUUGGUGAGUAAUGGCUCACCGAAGGCCGACGUAUACCGUAACUGGUCUGGAGGAGGAUGAAUCAGUACACUACUAGGAACUGAGACGACGGU